This 301-nucleotide ribosomal RNA is filed under the name uncultured bacterium. Its description in RNAcentral is "partial 16S ribosomal RNA". It matches the Rfam family "Bacterial small subunit ribosomal RNA", at positions 509 to 808 of the family's 1533-position model. The record is from RNAcentral.
CAGUCGCCACGGGAAUACGGAGGGAGCUAGCGUUGUUCGGAAUUACUGGGCGUAAAGCGCACGUAGGCGGUUAUUCAAGUCAGAGGUGAAAGCCCGGGGCUCAACCCCGGAACUGCCUUUGAAACUAGAUGACUGGAAUCUUGGAGAGGUCAGUGGAAUUCCGAGUGUAGAGGUGAAAUUCGUAGAUAUUCGGAAGAACACCAGUGGCGAAGGCGACUGACUGGACAAGUAUUGACGCUGAGGUGCGAAAGCGUGGGGAGCAGACAGGAUUAGAUACCCCUGUAGUCCCUGUCCUUAUACC